UGGGGAAUAUUGCGCAAUGGGGGGAACCCUGACGCAGCCAUGCCGCGUGAAUGAAGAAGGCCUUAGGGUUGUAAAGUUCUUUCGGUAUUGAGGAAGGUUGAUGUGUUAAUAGCACAUCAAAUUGACGUUAAAUACAGAAGAAGCACCGGCUAACUCCGUGCCAGCAGCCGCGGUAAUACGGAGGGUGCGAGCGUUAAUCGGAAUAACUGGGCGUAAAGGGCACGCAGGCGGUUAUUUAAGUGAGGUGUGAAAGCCCUGGGCUUAACCUAGGAAUUGCAUUUCAGACUGGGUAGCUAGAGUACUUUAGGGAGGGGUAGAAUUCCACGUGUAGCGGUGAAAUGCGUAGAGAUGUGGAGGAAUACCGAAGGCGAAGGCAGCCCCUUGGGAAUGUACUGACGCUCAUGUGCGAAAGCGUGGGGAGCAAACAGGAUUAGAUACCCUGGUAGUCCACGCUGUAAACGCUGUCGAUUUGGGGGUUGGGGUUUAACUCUGGCGCCCGUAGCUAACGUGAUAAAUCGACCGCCUGGGGAGUACGGCCGCAAGGUUA
Molecule: ribosomal RNA, 547 nt
Filed under: uncultured bacterium
Lineage: Bacteria
Description: bacterial SSU rRNA
Rfam family: Bacterial small subunit ribosomal RNA
Source: RNAcentral